This is a long non-coding RNA of Crotalus tigris (Tiger rattlesnake), 1450 nucleotides long. RefSeq lists it as uncharacterized. NCBI's taxonomy places the organism in Eukaryota, Metazoa, Chordata, Lepidosauria, Squamata, Viperidae. The transcript has 4 exons. The record is from RefSeq and is a predicted model, not a curated record.
AUUCACACUUCUCUUUUAAUGAAGUGGUGUGUGUGUAUGCGUGUGAAUAACAUUCAGAUACAUAUUAAGAAAAAUGCAUGUGCGUGUAUGUGUAAAUGAGAAUAAGUAUAUACAUUGUGUAUAAUACAUUCUGCAAUGUGUAUUACAUAGAAUAUUAGAUAGAAUUCCACUGUAUUAAAUGGAAUUUGAUUGGAUUAAUUCUAUUGUAUUAGAUAGAAUAGUUUUAAGAGAAAAAAGUAAACAAAAUAAACUGUAUAGGUGCAACACGCAGGUAUGGUAUCUCAUCUGAUCUGCAGUUGUCAAUGUAAUUGAAAGUGCAUCAAGAUGAAAUAUCCCAUAAUGGCUUCCAUAUUUCUGAAUACAUAUGAGAAACUUAGCUUAAACAGUCACGUCCACAUGUGACCAUCCAGCAUUUAGCUUCUUCUCCACCUGAACAAUGGAGCCUACAAACAAAACUCACCCUUUAUUCAGAAUUGCUGGGUGACCACCAGUCUCCCAAUUAGUAGGCAUAACUCAAAUGUUCAAGACUUCCUUUCAGAAUUGAAAACACUGCAUGCAUGCAUGUUUGUUAUUGCAAAAUCAAUUGAUAAAAGCAUGCCUGCUUGAAUGAACUGUCAUAGAUCAAAUGUCACAUAUAAAAACUGCCAGAUCACAUUCACCCUAUUUUUUGGAGAGCUAGUUCACACAAGCCAGCUGCCAAGUUUCUGCUCUGAGUAAUUAAGCAAUGAAUCAUCUUCAAAGAAUGUCAUACAAGCAUCAUCUUUAGCUCUAUGCUUCCUGCUUUCCUCACUUCUACCCAAGGCAUUCUGGAACAUUUUCAAGUAGAAGAACUUGCUUUGGUUACCUUGGUGAUAAACUAAAGCUAAAAAUUACACAUAAUUGUUGCUGAUGUCACUGUUCUCACAUUGUUUCCAAGGCAACAAAGUACUUCCUUUAAUGAUGAUGUUUUAUUUUUUCCUCUCUAUUGGAAGGCUUUCCCCCGAAAUGGUUUAGAAGAGCAGAAAUCUAUCUAGGUUGAGUUUAGCUAAUAAGUUUGUAUCUCAAGCACAUUAAGAGCUUAGCGAUUUCUUCAUGCAAGCAUUGCUGUCCAAUACAAUUGGCAAACCUUAGCACACUUAAGAGUGGUCCUGGAACUCUUGCUGAAGGCCAACAAAAUAUGCAGCUUUAGUGCUGUACUCUUCCAUCAGAUUCCUAUUGAUCAGUUGAAGGAGAGGAAUGAUUGGCUUGCUGGUUUAUCACCAUUCCAAGCUUCAUUUUCUUUCAAUGUGUUUGACACAACUGACAGGAAUGAGGAAUGAGAUUACACUGAGAAGCAUCCCAGAUGCCACUAACAACUGUCAAUGACACACCUGAGUUUUCACAGCCAAACAACUUAAAGUGUUGUACACCAAUGAGACUGAAGAUGACAAGGAGAAGAGAAAAGCAAAGGAGAAGAACAUCAAAAAUAAGA